Gallus gallus (chicken) is the source of this 4857-nucleotide long non-coding RNA. RefSeq lists it as uncharacterized. The transcript is spliced from 3 exons. Lineage: Eukaryota; Metazoa; Chordata; Aves; Galliformes; Phasianidae. The record is from RefSeq and is a predicted model, not a curated record.
AGAGGGAGCUGUCCCUGCCUAUAGCAGGGGGGUUGGAACUGGAUGAUCUCGAGGGUCCCUUCCAACCCAAACCAUUCUAUGAUUCUAUGUUUAUCUCAUCUGAAGAUUAUUUGCUGAAACAGAGGAAGCACUUUUGCUAAACCCAGUCGCACUCUCCAGGUUGUUCACUGGCUCCCUCUCCACUGGGCAACCUGGGAAUUUUUGUGAGUUAUAGAGAUUUUCGUUAAAUCUUUUCCUUAUAGCACUUCUAUUCCAAUUCUGAAUCUCUUUUCUCAGCCAUUUAUGUUCCUGACCUUCCUCCAAAUAUUUGAGUCAAUACGGAAAUCUGAAAAGCUGACCUUGUCAGCUUCUUUUACAUGGGACUCCACAGAGAGUCUUUUUGGUUGGUAUUUAAGACUGCUGAGAGGUUUAAAAAGGGGCUGAUGUAUUUGUGGUAUGAAGGAGGAUCAAUUGGCCUUUUAGGGAGGCUGAAGGUAAAGCUGGGAAUUCAAAGGGCAUAAGCAGUAAGUUUGAUAGAAACUUUGGUUUGCCUCUUGGCUGUGGUUAAGUGGUCUCUCUCGUGUUUAAUUUCACAUCUGAGUCUGUUUUUGGACUCAGAGAUGAAAAGGCAGUCAGUCAUUGCAUGGAAGUCUUUGUGUGGAACUCCUCCCAUUUUUUUGUGUUGUUCAUUGCAUAGAUAUGACUGGGUGUGUUAAUUUAGGAUGAAGAUUGCGCUGGCACGACAAAGCUGAAUUUUCUCAAGGUUAAGCUGCUGCAUAUCCUCCACCUGGAGCCACACUCAAAAACAAUGUGGACAUCAGUCAGGACAAGGCAAUUUGCUUUAUGAGCAGUGUGGUUCACCAGGAGAAAAUGAAAGAUUUGGGGGAAUCAGCCUGAUGCCAGCAGAGCAUUAGUAACAUAUGAAUAUUUCUCAUAAAAAUCCAGUUCUGACUAAAUAUUUUUGUUGUAAACAACUGCUGCUGAAAUGAUACAUGAGAAGAAAUAUCCUACUUCAUAGCAAUGUUUGGAGUCUUUCUCCUUUCGCGGUAUAAAAGCAUCAAUUUUUCUUUGGCUUUUGUAGCUCUGGCAGAUAAAACAUAGAGGGUAGCUUGAAGGAUCAUCUAGUUUAACCUCUGUUAGCACAUGAAUGCAUGAAACAAUAUUAAAGAGAAAAUAGAAACACCUCAGCGUUGGAUCAAGUGCUCAGUUUGUAUUUACAGGCUGGGCUGUAAUUUGUGAAGAUGCUGAAUGACAGGUUCUUAUUUCCCUGACUGCUAAAUAAAAAGAGGUGGAGAUUCUGGUGGAAAUAAAAUCCUCAUCUUUCACUACUACAAUUCUUUUUUUUUUUUUUUUUCCUAAUUGUAUUCAACUGUUUUUCUCACUCUUUGGAUAAAAAUCUGUAUGUUCUGUAUGUUUCAUUUGGCUUUCUGGUCUUUUUCCUCAGUGGCACAGUUUGACAGUGCUGAUUUCCUUCCACCCAUCAACAUGAUAAAUAUGAAGGUUGUCAUACCAGACCCAUCACGCAGAAUGACUGGAAACUUCAACAGUUCCAGAGAAGUCUCAGCGUGCAAAUCUGAUUGCUUGAACACAUGCUUUGUGCAGUAAGUUGUAAGUCUGAAGAGACUGAAAUGAUUGAGUAAGUUUUGGCUACUCAUACAUUUUUCAGUUUCCAUAGCAGAGGAGGCGGGGGAAGUAAGCCAGAAGUGGGGAGCCAUGGACAGAAAGAACAAAAGCAGAACUAUUGAUGGGCAGUGCGGAGGUGUCAGUUUAUUCAUUUAUUUGCUUCUUCCUGUACCACUUCCUUGCUAGUUUGCAUUAGGCCCAGUAUGAGUCCAUGAAAUUUGAAUGAGUUUGCAAUCCUUUUCAGAUAAGAGUAGCUCUUGCUUAGGAAAAAAAAAAAAAAAGGUAAAAUAUAGUACUCAGUUAUGCAAGAAUAGGGAUAAAGUACAGAGCAGCUGACUAGAGGCAAAUAGACUAAGUGCUGGAGGAAGCAGGGAUGCUGUUGAUGUAUCUUCUAAUGAUUCUUUAUUAAGAACAGACAAUAUAUGCACUCUCCUUUUCUGGCUUCUGUUCAGCUAGAUGCCAUCAACAGAGGAAAGCUAACAACAGUGGUUUUGGGAUAGGCAUAUAUUAGGAGUGUGAUGGAGGCUGCAAAGAGACAGAAGUGCAGAUUCAGAAAGAGUACUGUGCUUACACUUUCUGCAGUGAAAACAGCAUAGAUUUGAAUGCUGCCAUUGCUACUGAUUCACAUUGACUUCACUGAGAAAUACACGCAGUCAGAGACCUGGAGUUUGAUUUUAUAUGGCUAAACACUGAAGCAUAAUUGUCAUUGGCUUUUCAAGGCAAAAAAUUCAAUUAUUGGGAUUUUGAGACCGCUUACUAUUUUCUUAGAGUUGUUUUAAGGUCUGUUCAGCAGCUGCACCUUUCCAGAGAGAAUAUCUUUGAUCCCACCAAUGUGUUUUGGCUAUCUAGUCUAACAGUCUCCUGGCCAAUAUGUGUGAAAGGCAGAACUCAAUAUCCUUUGCCUGAGAAACAGCAACUUGGAAGGAUAACAUGCAGCCAUCAGAGGAGCUGGUACAGCCAUCUGUUUGCCACUCCACCUUGAUCACAGAGCCUCACUUCACCAAAGCAAGUGAACAUCAACUGUUUCCAGAAUUUCCUUGCUGAGGAGCCUUGCCAAUUUUCUGCCCCUGUCUGCAUCCCUGGUGUGUUACAUGACAGAAACAAUGCCUGCUGACCUAUCUGGCAUCCUCAGAUUUCAUGACAGAUGUGAACUGAAAGUUCUCUGCACAAGCAUUUAUUCUUUGUUCCCAUGAGCAGAAGGAGAGUUCUCACUGUUAGUCCACGUACUGUACACUACCAUAGUCUGAUUCCAAAUGGGAGUAGCUCGUGGUAUGUUGAUAGUUUUCUUCUGGCAGGGACUAUUAAGAUGAGACUUGAGACUGAGGUCAGAAUGUUUGCACUUGAGUGCAAACAAAGUGUAAGCAUAUAUAUAUGUGUAUAACAGCAAAUUAGAACAACUUGGCCAUAAAUACAGAAGAUGGGGGGCAUAAGGGGAAGAGAUGGGGUGCAUAGAAGAGUGCUGCUUCUGCUCCUCUGGUAAAUACUGCUUCCCUUCAGCCAGCUAAUUCAGAAAGCGGGAGCCCAAGGAGGGUCCCUAGUCUGGCACCAGUGGCAAUUCCUGAUGUUCAUCUUAAUCCAUAUGCCAGCAUCCUAUUCAGGGGAUCAGAAUAGGAGGUUAGUGAGAGAAAGAUCCUGCAGAGGCCGACUGAAAGCAGGACCUCCUGUAGCCUGAAAGAAUCUCUGCUUGGAGAAUGGAAGGAAUCUGUUGGGGUGCUUGCUUCGGGCUGCUGGAAUCAAUGCACAACCGUGGAGCAAAGUGACUGCAAUGGAAACACACUCACAGAAAGCUGUGCUAACAGAAUUUUGAAACCAAUUUGCCUUUAGAUAUCCCACAAACAGAAAAAGAAACAUCUGAUAAAUUAUUCAUUGUGAAUUAUUUGCAUAGGCUGAUAGGAACUCAUUAAACACCCAAAGAUUGAUUUACGGGAAGGAAAUGGAGAAAAUCUUCAGAGUGGUAUCUAUCUUCUUCUCAGCUUCCAGUAAUUGUCUCUCAGGUGAAUGAAUUUGCCUCUUUCUUCUGCUGUUAUUCUUUACUUCUUGGACUACUUUAUAGAAUGUUUUACGGCGGAGACUUCCUGUGAGCCAAAGAGCCUGGAUUUCAUAGCUGUAUAUUAAAGUGCACCAGAAAACAGUAGAAGGCAUCACAUUUUCUCCUCUUACUUGUGGCUGAAUUGCUACAAAUUUUUAAAUUGCCAUACUUAAAAGUAUUAGCUACAGAUACAUAAAUCUCCCAUUUUUUUUAAGCACAUCUCAGUCUCUCCAGGCCAAGAACCCAGCUUUUACAUUAAGUAAUAUGAAAAGCCAUUCUAAGUGCCUCUGUUUCAGAAUAUCCAAACGGAGCCAAUUUAAAGGGACAUAGCUAGGGGCAACCUAAAUCACUAUAUCAUACUGAACUUUGAAAAUACUUGAUUAUACGUUUGUGUUUGUAGAAAAGGGGCUGAAUCUUUAUCCAGGAUGUUUCAAGCAAUUUUUUGGUGUACCUUGUUCUUGAAACCCUAGUAAAGAUGUUUCCACAGUCAACCUAGGCAGCAUAUUCCCACUGUGUGCCUAUUCUUGGAUUUAAGAUGUGGAAAUUAAAUUAUAUUUGCUGCAAAUUAAGCUGAUUUUGUCUUAUUCCACCUUCAGGGGACAUGGGAAACACUUGAUACCUGUCCUUCUUGUAUAUCUUUUUUUUCAUACAGCACAGUAUUGCUGUGAUUCUCCUCGAAUUAAUCUUUACUCGUCUAAGCAGGUUUUCCCAUAGAAGGUGCAUUUUCUGACACCUCACCUUCAUCUGGAUAUGUACUCUGCAAAUGUGGUGCCUAAAAAAAACCCUCUUCCAUGUUAUCCCUAUGUUGUUGUUUUGAUAAGUGUUGUAAGGAUUAGGCUUUGUGGUUUUGUAACUAAUUUUCAAUGAAGCGGCGAAUGGGUGCAACCUCAGAUCCUCACCUACAGAACUACUGUUUAGCUGAUUUUCCCAAGUCUUGUCUCUGUGCCACUGAUUUCUCUCUGCUUGUGGAUUUGUCUUUUCUGAAUUUCUUACUGUAGAUAUCAUAUCAUCCUUACAUUGUGCCAAGUGACUUCUAAAUUCAACCGCUGAAAUCGUGUAGUUGUUGCUAACUUAGCACUACAGAAACUACCUUAUUGAUAUCCUCUCCCUUCCAUGACUACUACACUAGUAGUUGUGAAAGCGUUGAACAUAGUUGGGCCUGGACAGCCCAUGGGAGAUCUACCUCCCAUGUGUCUGCUAAGUAAAACGCUGAGUGCACAAAAUAU